Long non-coding RNA from Lemur catta (Ring-tailed lemur), 329 nucleotides. RefSeq lists it as uncharacterized. Lineage: Eukaryota; Metazoa; Chordata; Mammalia; Primates; Lemuridae. The record is from RefSeq and is a predicted model, not a curated record. The transcript is spliced from 2 exons.
AGCCAAUCCAGGGACAAGUCCCUGAGAAAACUUGUUUCCUUCCUUGCAGGCAAUGAAGCUCUGCCUCUUUAUCCUCCUCAUAUGCUCCUCCUGCACAUACGCCGGCUUCGGACCCCCGCCAAAUCCGCAGGAACUCAUAAGACUCCUCUAUGGGAACCCCUGUGACUGCGGUGGAGAGUACAACCUUCAGGCUUUAAUUCCUCCGGUUGCCUCCAAGGACCAUUUCAAAAUAACUCUUACGAUGUUGAGGUUGGAUUUAUUACCUUCUCUAACUGCCAUACCAUAACCAACAUCUCCACCCCUGUUUGCUCUCCUCCGGGUCAGGUAUU